CCCUUAGAUGUUCUGGGCCGCACGCGCGCUACACUGACGAAUGCAACGAGCUUAUAACCUUGGCCGAAAGGUCUGGGUAAUCUCCAAAUUUCGUCGUGAUGGGGAUAGAUUAUUGCAAUUAUUAAUCUUCAACGAGGAAUGCCUAGUAAGCGCAAGUCAUCUGCUUGCGUUGAUUACGUCCCUGCCCUUUGUACACACCGCCCGUCGCUCCUACCGAUUGAAUGGUCCGGUGAAGCGUUCGGACCGUGGCCUUUGGACGGUUCGCCGUCUGUUGGCUGCGGGAAGUUCGUUAAACCUUAUCAUUUAGAGGAAGGAGAAGUCGUAACA
Molecule: ribosomal RNA, 327 nt
Filed under: uncultured eukaryote
Lineage: Eukaryota
Description: partial 18S ribosomal RNA
Rfam family: Eukaryotic small subunit ribosomal RNA
Source: RNAcentral